Molecule: transfer RNA, 74 nt
Filed under: Corynebacterium testudinoris
Lineage: Bacteria; Bacillati; Actinomycetota; Actinomycetes; Mycobacteriales; Corynebacteriaceae
Also listed under: 1 other name
Rfam family: tRNA
About the family: Transfer RNA (tRNA) molecules are approximately 80 nucleotides in length. Their secondary structure includes four short double-helical elements and three loops (D, anti-codon, and T loops). Further hydrogen bonds mediate the characteristic L-shaped molecular structure. tRNAs have two regions of fundamental functional importance: the anti-codon, which is responsible for specific mRNA codon recognition, and the 3' end, to which the tRNAs corresponding amino acid is attached (by aminoacyl-tRNA synthetases). tRNAs cope with the degeneracy of the genetic code in two manners: having more than one tRNA (with a specific anti-codon) for a particular amino acid; and 'wobble' base-pairing, i.e. permitting non-standard base-pairing at the 3rd anti-codon position.
Source: Rfam by way of RNAcentral
GCCCCCAUAGCUCAGUGGAUUAGAGCAUCCGGUUUCUACCCGGCUGGUCGCGGGUUCGAGUCCUGCUGGGGGCA